GAUGAACGCUGGCGGCGUGCCUAAUACAUGCAAGUCGAACGAACAGACGAGGAGCUUGCUCCUCUGACGUUAGCGGCGGACGGGUGAGUAACACGUGGAUAACCUACCUAUAAGACUGGGAUAACUUCGGGAAACCGGAGCUAAUACCGGAUAAUAUAUUGAACCGCAUGGUUCAAUAGUGAAAGACGGUUUUGCUGUCACCUAUAGAUGGAUCCGCGCCGCAUUAGCUAGUUGGUAAGGUAACGGCUUACCAAGGCAACGAUGCGUAGCCGACCUGAGAGGGUGAUCGGCCACACUGGAACUGAGACACGGUCCAGACUCCUACGGGAGGCAGCAGUAGGGAAUCUUCCGCAAUGGGCGAAAGCUUGACGGAGCAACGCCGCGUGAGUGAUGAAGGUCUUCGGAUCGUAAAACUCUGUUAUUAGGGAAGAACAAAUGUGUAAGUAACUAUGCACGUCUUGACGGUACCUAAUCAGAAAGCCACGGCUAACUACGUG
This 497-nucleotide ribosomal RNA is filed under the name uncultured bacterium. RNAcentral's name for it is "partial 16S ribosomal RNA". It matches the Rfam family "Bacterial small subunit ribosomal RNA", at positions 28 to 507 of the family's 1533-position model. The record is from RNAcentral.